GCUUAACACAUGCAAGUCGAACGGUGAAAGAGAGCUUGCUCUCUGGAUCAGUGGCGAACGGGUGAGUAACACGUGAGCAAUCUGCCCUUGACUCUGGGAUAAGCGCUGGAAACGGCGUCUAAUACCGGAUACGAGCUGCGAAGGCAUCUUCAGCAGCUGGAAAGAACUUCGGUCAAGGAUGAGCUCGCGGCCUAUCAGCUUGUUGGUGAGGUAAUGGCUCACCAAGGCGUCGACGGGUAGCCGGCCUGAGAGGGUGACCGGCCACACUGGGACUGAGACACGGCCCAGACUCCUACGGGAGGCAGCAGUGGGGAAUAUUGCACAAUGGGCGCAAGCCUGAUGCAGCAACGCCGCGUGAGGGACGACGGCCUUCGGGUUGUAAACCUCUUUUAGCAGGGAAGAAGCGAAAGUGACGGUACCUGCAGAAAAAGCACCGGCUAACUACGUGCCAGCAGCCGCGGUAAUACGUAGGGUGCAAGCGUUAUCCGGAAUUAUUGGGCGUAAAGAGCUCGUAGGCGGUUUGUCACGUCUGCUGUGAAAACUGGAGGCUCAACCUCCAGCCUGCAGUGGGUACGGGCAGACUAGAGUGCGGUAGGGGAGAUUGGAAUUCCUGGUGUAGCGGUGGAAUGCGCAGAUAUCAGGAGGAACACCGAUGGCGAAGGCAGAUCUCUGGGCCGUAACUGACGCUGAGGAGCGAAAGGGUGGGGAGCAAACAGGCUUAGAUACCCUGGUAGUCCACCCCGUAAACGUUGGGAACUAGUUGUGGGGUCCAUUCC
This 776-nucleotide ribosomal RNA is filed under the name Microbacterium sp. RNAcentral's name for it is "bacterial SSU rRNA". It matches the Rfam family "Bacterial small subunit ribosomal RNA", at positions 46 to 835 of the family's 1533-position model. Lineage: Bacteria; Bacillati; Actinomycetota; Actinomycetes; Micrococcales; Microbacteriaceae. The record is from RNAcentral.